RNAcentral lists this ribosomal RNA (497 nucleotides) under uncultured bacterium. Its description in RNAcentral is "partial 16S ribosomal RNA". It matches the Rfam family "Bacterial small subunit ribosomal RNA", at positions 28 to 507 of the family's 1533-position model. The record is from RNAcentral.
GAUGAACGCUGGCGGCGUGCCUAAUACAUGCAAGUCGAGCGAACGGACUAGAAGCUUGCUUCUCUUAUGUUAGCGGCGAACGGGUGAGUAACACGUGGGUAACCUGCCUAUAAGACUGGGAUAACUUCGGGAAACCGGUGCUAAUACCGGAUAAUAUUUUUAACCACAUGUUUCAAAAUUGAAAGACGCUCUUGCUUUCACUUAUAAAUGUAUCCGCUCGUCAUUAGCUAGUUGUUAAGUUAACGGCUUACCAAGCCAACGAUGAAUACCCAACCUGAGAGGGUAACCGCCCACACUGGACUUGAGACACGGUCAAGAUUCCUCGGGGAGGAAGAAGAAGGAAACUUCGCGAAAUGAGCGAAGGCUUGCCGGACAACGGCGGCGUGAGUAAUGAGGGUUUCCGGAUCGAAAAACCCGGUUAUAAGGGAAAACCAUAUGUGUAAGUAAAUGUGCACCUAUUGACGGUAACUACUCAGAAAGCCACGGCUAACUACGUG